RNAcentral lists this ribosomal RNA (253 nucleotides) under uncultured bacterium. Its description in RNAcentral is "partial 16S ribosomal RNA". It matches the Rfam family "Bacterial small subunit ribosomal RNA", at positions 524 to 776 of the family's 1533-position model. The record is from RNAcentral.
UACAGAGGGUGCGAGCGUUGUCCGGAAUCACUGGGCGUAAAGGGCGCGUAGGCGGCUUGAUAAGCGUGCGGUGAAAGCCCGGGGCUCAACCCCGGGUCGGCCGUGCGAACUGUCGAGCUGGAGCACUGUAGAGGCAGGUGGAAUUCCGGGUGUAGCGGUGGAAUGCGUAGAGAUCCGGAAGAACACCGGUGGCGAAGGCGGCCUGCUGGGCAGCGGCUGACGCUGAGGCGCGACAGCGUGGGGAGCAAACAGG